ACUACGACGAUGUGUAGUCGGCCGCCGCCGACACCGCCGUCGACGACGUAUGAUGUACCGAACGUAAACGUGUUUUUUUUCCUCUCUUCCUUGCUCAGUAUUUUUUUCUCUAUUUCAUUUAUUUUUUACUACAAAACUCACGCCAUUCAUUAUCGGCGUAUACUUUGAACGGGAAAACAUCGGACCAUUUCGGGCACGUCACACAAACCGUGGCCCGAUUGCUUGCGGCGUGGGGGUUCGAUCAGCACAAAUACAAUAAUAUGUCAGGAUUUUCAAACUACCUGCAGGCUGCAAUAGAAUGAGGCAAAAGACCUUGCGCCCGGAUUACAUUAACAGCAAUAUCGAGAAUCAGACAUCCCAUCAAACCUUGCGUUUUAGUAUUUUAUACCACUCAUAUACACUACUACUCUAUAGUAUGCAAUAGAGUAAAGGUAUUAUUAUAAUAAAUUUUAAUAAUACAUAUA
This is a long non-coding RNA of Rhopalosiphum padi (bird cherry-oat aphid), 464 nucleotides long. RefSeq lists it as uncharacterized. Lineage: Eukaryota; Metazoa; Arthropoda; Insecta; Hemiptera; Aphididae. The record is from RefSeq and is a predicted model, not a curated record. The transcript has 2 exons.